GCAGGAGUCAUAGAAGUCACAAUUGAUGACAACUGACAGUUUGAAUGGCUGACCAGUUAAACAGUUGGAUAGUUUAAAUUGUUAAAUUAUUUAAUAGGGA
Alosa sapidissima (American shad) is the source of this 100-nucleotide long non-coding RNA. RefSeq lists it as uncharacterized. Lineage: Eukaryota; Metazoa; Chordata; Actinopteri; Clupeiformes; Clupeidae. The record is from RefSeq and is a predicted model, not a curated record. The transcript has 3 exons.